RNAcentral lists this ribosomal RNA (433 nucleotides) under uncultured bacterium. Its description in RNAcentral is "partial 16S ribosomal RNA". It matches the Rfam family "Bacterial small subunit ribosomal RNA", at positions 29 to 507 of the family's 1533-position model. The record is from RNAcentral.
AGCGAACGCUGGCGGCAGGCCUAACACAUGCAAGUCGAACGAACUCUUCGGAGUUAGUGGCGGACGGGGGAGUAACACGUGGGAACGUGCCCAUUGGUUCGGGAUAACUCAGGGAAACUAGUGCUAAUACCGAAUGUGCCCUACGGGGGAAAGGUUUAUUGCCAUUGGAGCGGCCCGCGUCUGAUUAGCUAGUUGGUGUGGUAACGGCUCACCAAGGCGACGAUCAGUAGCUGGUCUGAGAGAAUGGCCAGCCACACUGGGACUGGGACACGGCCCGGACUCCUACGGGAGGCAGGAGUGGGUGAUCUUGCGCAAUGGGCGAAAGCAUGACGGAGCCAUGCCGGGUGAAUGAUGAAGGUCUUAGGAUUGUAAAAUUCUUUCACCGGGGACGAUAAUGACGGUACCCGGAGAAGAAGCCCCGGCUAACUUCGUG